CUCAAAAGUCGGUCGUGUAAUCGACUCGCAUAAAAUUAAAUCGGCGUGUGGGCCUUUCACGCGAUGCCCACGCGAGUAUUUAUCAAUCGCCCGAUGUAUUUCACGAUUAUUAUAUCCUUCCUUCACCACGAUAUCCCCAUUGCCACUCAUUAUCCACCGUCCACGAUCUCCAUUAUUCUCUUACGUAUCAGCUCGAAGAAGCAAAUAUUAUCCUCCGUUUCGAUUUCCAAGACGGGUGAAUGAAAACGGUCGCGCGCGCGCGAUUCGCCCAGAUUCCGUCCCAACUUACGACCUUGGGGCGAGCGAUACUACGAGGAGGAGC
Molecule: long non-coding RNA, 322 nt
Filed under: Apis cerana (Asiatic honeybee)
Lineage: Eukaryota; Metazoa; Arthropoda; Insecta; Hymenoptera; Apidae
Description: 14547.1
Source: RNAcentral